Brassica rapa (field mustard) is the source of this 3653-nucleotide long non-coding RNA. RefSeq lists it as uncharacterized. NCBI's taxonomy places the organism in Eukaryota, Viridiplantae, Streptophyta, Magnoliopsida, Brassicales, Brassicaceae. The record is from RefSeq and is a predicted model, not a curated record.
UGAGUGGUGCGGGACAAGCGGUUCAACUGCGGUGCGGUUUUAACAGUUAUAAAAAUGUAUAAAUAUAUAAUAUAUAUAGAGAUUUUUAUUACUGUUAACUGCAGGGCGGGGCGGAACGAUGAUCACCGUUCGAAGCCAAUAACCCAUCAUCGAUGUUAAGUGCACGAGUUGGCACAUUCGUGUUGGUCAACACAGAGUUACUAUCAUUUAACAUAAUCGCAUGUGGUUGGUAGGUGAGUGCCACCGUCCUAUUUAAUUUAGUGGCUUUAUUAAAGCAUGUUUUCAAAUGUGACCUUAUAUUUUUAAAAUAAUGGUAUAUAUUUUAUAAUCUAACUUUUAUUAAUAUUUAAAUUUUGAAAUAAUAUAAAAUAUAUGAAUAAUAAUUAAAAUUGUAAUAAUAAACUCGAUCAACGUCCCUAAUUCCGUCUAGUUUGUAACUUAUAAGAGAAAAGCAAAAGCCUAUGGAGUCCAAGUAAACCAAUUAACUAAGUCAAAGAGUUCGAAAACGAGCCUGUAAGGGAGACACCCAGGAUAAGUAUCGUGUCCACAAAGAACUCAAAUGCAAUAUUAUUCACACAUAUAUAUUACAAAAAUCGAAUAGACAUGCACUUGUGCUGAGAAAAAGACACAUCUUUGUUUUACAUUCUUUGAGAAAUCCUAACAUACUGUCGUUAGGUCAUUUCAGUCUUUCAUGAGCUAUGUAAGCUUGAGAGCUUCUUCAUUAUGCAACUUCAAAGUGAUCCUAAGCUUUCUUAGUUUUUUCAUAGGUGACAGCAGUGCCGUGCGAAGGUUUUCGGAGGCCCGAGACGAGUUCAAAAAUAUAUUUUACAUGAUAUAUUUUCAAUAAUAUAUAUAUAUAUAACACUCAAAAGUUUUGAAUUAUUACAUAAACGUUUUCUAAAUUUUUUUCACCAAAAUUUUAUAAAAUAAAAUUUUUAAAUCAUGAACAAAAAGUAUGAAUUUGUAAUAUAAAUACAAAGAUAUAAAUUUUUUGAUUGAAAUAUUGGUAGCUGUCAAAAAAAAAUGUAAAUCUUAGCAUUUAAAUUAACUAUAAUAAACUACUUAGAAGAUAUUAUGCUUCUGAAAAGAAGGUUCACCAACUCAAGCAUCGUUCAUGUCCCCAGGACGGAAAACACAAAGGCGGAUCGUUUGGCACGUAGUGCUCGGAUUCAGUCGUCUUUCGUCAUAUACAUGGAUGCAGAGUUGCCGCCUUGAUUUACAGAGUCUAUAUGAGUCUGUAGGUUGUUGCUGUCAAAAAAAAAUAACUAUAAUAAACUAUAUAUUGAAAAUAUUAUAUUUUCUUUACCAAAUUCUCAUAAAUAUAUAAAAUAAAUCUAGCUCAUAGCAUAUAAAAGAAAAGAGCAAUGUAAUCAAAUAUUUACAAUUUUUUUAGAAGUAGAAUUUUUAUAGUUUUUUUUAAUAUAGCAAAAAUGAUCACAAACCUAGUUACUUUGAACAGAAGUCCAAUUUAAAUUCAAAUAAAAAUAAAAAUCCAACUAAGAAAAUAUGUUAACUACCAUGUAAAAGUAUUUUUUUGUAAUUUAGAGCCCUAAAUUUUUUACAAAAUUUGGAGGCCGUAGGCAAGUGCUUUUUUCAAAAGCCUAUAAGCACGGUUCUGCUGUGACAGGCUUGUAUAACCGCGGGUGUUCAGCUAGCAUCCACGUCCUCGUUGUUGUUUCUUUGCAUUGCAAUUAUUCCUCACGUUGCACAGCCUCCCAAUGCUUUACAUUGUAGUUGUUUGAUAGCAGCUGUGUUUCAAUAUGUGUUAAUGGGAAAGAGCAUUCUCGAAGAACUAUCCGUGGCUUGAAGUCUACGUGGCUAAUGAUCUAAACGUGAAUCGCGUGAAAUGGUUCAAAGAAUUAAAAAUGGGAGUCAUCAACACAUCAUAGAGGAAUAAUUUAUAGAAACAUUUACCCUCCAAGACACAUUAUGAGUUAUCAAUUACACAUAAAGACAUAUUGAGUUAAGAGAACACUUUCUUAUGUUCAUUUGUCUGAAUUGCCCUUCAACUAAAAAGAAGAUGUCAUAACAUGUGUCAAAAUUAUUUUCAAUAUAAUUCCAUUUAACUUUCACCUUUUAGUUUCAUAUUUUUUAAUUCCCUAAACUUAAUCAUGCCUCCAUCUAUCAUCAUCUUCAUCUCUCAUCUUUCGUAUCCUUCUAAAUAUUCUUCUACUUUACUAAAUUUGUAGAUUUUUUUUUUUAUAAUUCUAAAUUACUAAUUUUUGUUGUCGAAUCUUUAUCUUUCACCACUUUAUUUUUUAAAUCUCGAAUUCAUGGAAACCUCAGAUUGGGAGCUAAGGAAAGUCGAUUCUGAAAUUUCAGCUUGGGUGAUUCUAGAUCUUCGCCGACGAAUACAUCCAAGACAGCAAAACCGAUGUAUCUCCUGCAACAUUUGAUUCACAUGUCGCCCAUCCUUUUCAUGUCCAUCAAUUUCCUUGUCCACAAAUGAACUAUCCACAAAGCUGUCUUGGAUCUAAGUUUGAUUCACAUGUCGCUCAUCCUUUUCAGUGGAUUAGCUCGUGAUUUUCCGUGGAUGAACUUGGGAUUCGACGUGGAUGAACUCGAGGUAGUUGCCUUGGAUCUAAGUUUUUUAUCUCUUCAUGGUGGCUUCUGUUGCAGAGAGAAAGCUCUAAAAGAAACAAUGGUCAAAUUACUCUAUUUUACACAUAUAGUCCUCCCAUUUUUGGAUUUUUGCAAUUUGACCCCAACAUUCUUUAAUUUACUUAUAGAUCCUCUUGAUUUCGUCUCAAACUUUUAAUUAUGUACUUUACGUAAGAAUAAUUUUCUUAUCAACUCAUAUCCACACUUGCUAUGUCCAUUAAAUAUUAUUUAAUAAAAUAAAAAUUUAUAAAAUAUCAAAAAUAUAUAUAUGGAUACAAAUAUAUUUUGUCCAUAGAAACUUGUCCACAAAAACAUUAUAACAUUUUUGUGUCCACAUAAAUUAUGUCCACAGAAGCUUGUCCACAGAAGCUUGUCUACAUAAAUUGCGUCCAUUGAAUUGCGUCCACACAAAAAGCUUAAUCCCUUUCUCUCUUUCAAAACGUCACAAUACAAUAUGUUCUCUAGAUGGAUUAUCUUCAAACAAACAACACAAACCCUAGAUAGAUUAAACUUCAAACACGAUCUUUGUCUACAAUAACAUGUUCACAAACAGUCAUAGUUACACAACUAUAAUUGUAAGAGCUUGUCCAUAAGAACAGGUCCACUACAAACUUGUUUAUAAGAACACAUUCACAUGACUCUUGUCCACAACAUAUAUAUCCACCAGAAAACUGUCCACAAUGUUAACACUCGUCCACAAUUCGUCUAUCCAUAUAACACUCGUCCACAAUUCAUCUGUCCACAUAACACUCGUCCACAAAGACGUAUCCAUAAAAAAAUGUUACAAAAACCUGUCUCCAAUCCAUGCUACAACUUCUUUAUUUUAUUCAUGAUUGAUAAAAGAGAGAGACAUCAAGUAUAAGAACAUAGUUGUUGUCCUUUUAUUGGUAGAAAACUAUAAUUUGAGGAUUGUGAAGCAGAAGUAGAGAAAUAAAAUUUAUUGGGGUCUAAACUGCACAACUGAAAGUUUGGUGUUAAUUUAAGAGGACAUUUCUGCAAAACAAUCGAAAGAAAUCAAAAAGUGAAGGACCAAAUCUGAAAAUUAUUGAAAA